GACAUCAUGGCCGAAUGGAUAAGGCGGCGAGACCGAAUGGACAUCAUUUCGUGUAUUAACUCGUCGAUGCAGGUUCGAGUCCUGCUGGUGUCG
Coprinopsis sp. MPI-PUGE-AT-0042 is the source of this 93-nucleotide non-coding RNA. The record is from the annotation of a GenBank genome assembly. NCBI's taxonomy places the organism in Eukaryota, Fungi, Basidiomycota, Agaricomycetes, Agaricales, Psathyrellaceae.